Long non-coding RNA from Chelonia mydas (Green sea turtle), 845 nucleotides. RefSeq lists it as uncharacterized. Lineage: Eukaryota; Metazoa; Chordata; Testudines; Cheloniidae. The transcript is spliced from 3 exons. The record is from RefSeq and is a predicted model, not a curated record.
ACCAUGCCUGCCAGCACACAGAGUGUGCAGAGUGUGUAACAUGGAGGGCUACUUCUCUACAUACAUUCAAUGAGAAUGCCUUUGUUAUCCAAAGGUGGCCUGGAUCAAAGCAUUAAGCCUGUUACUUCAGCACUGUAGAAGAGCCUGCUUCAUCCCCUUGACAAUGCCAUCAAAGCCCAAGAGACAGUGUGAAAACUGGCACUGCACUUCUGAAGGGAAACCUCAAACAAACCAGCAAACAAGAAUUCAAAGGGCUAUGUGGAGAGAGCGAGAGACCGAAGACACAACAUGAUCGCUCGAGCGCUGUAUGAUGUAUUUGAAACACUGAGAUGGAAUAAUGCCCUUGUCAGUUGCUACAGCUCAUCUAUCAUCCUCUACUUCUUGAAUCCUUCACUGGUCUAACUGCCCAACUUCCGACUAAUUGCAAGCAAUGCAGAACGUUUGCUGAAAGGCAACUGCUGCAACAUUUUGAAGGCAGAGAACAAAGCGCUAGAUACCCUAGGAAUUGGUAUGUUUUAAAUGAACCAUAGCCAUGGGUAAAUGGUUGCUGUUUUAGAAAUCUCUUUGUUGUGCUAUUAGAGUCCUGCCAUUUUAAUAAGAUACUAAGUAAAGUUACAUUCAGAAGGCACAAAAAUUGGAGAGAGUAAAAUAAAUUGAAAAGAAAAGAAAAAAAACCCAGAGACAGAGCUAUUCUCAGGAUAGGUAAAGUGCCAGCUCUGUGUCUUUGUACUUGGGCUGUGGGCACCUUGACAGAAAUAUCCACAGCCAGUAUUGCUAUCAUUUUUACAAGGAACAAGCCUGAGAAUUAAGAUGAUAAUUGGAAGAAGCACAAUGAUCAGUACACA